AAGUCUCACCACUGAGAGGAAAACAUCACUGGUCCACCUCUGCAUCAGCACUGAACGUGAAUUCUUUACUCAUCAGAUACGCAGCGACACCAUGAUGGGUGUGGAUCUCCAAUGGAUGACAUCACGAGGAGUGCAAAAGCUGUUGAUGCUUCAGCCGUCCAGGCCAGGGGUGCAUGGAGGUUCCUUGGUCCUGCUCCAUGCACUAUUUCCCUCAGUGGUUCAGUUCUGGCUGUAUAGUCGGGGAUGUGUGUGCGGCUGUAGCCUGUCAGUCCAAGGAAUGACAACAUUCCUGACACAGUAAUGGGGCGUCUGUGGGAUUUGGAGAGUCCUGCUCCGUCUCCUGAGAUUUCCCUUCGCAGGAAGAUGACUG
Oncorhynchus tshawytscha (Chinook salmon) is the source of this 370-nucleotide long non-coding RNA. The record is from Ensembl. NCBI's taxonomy places the organism in Eukaryota, Metazoa, Chordata, Actinopteri, Salmoniformes, Salmonidae.